UGUUUCUAAUAUACGCCAUGAUCUUUUCUGAUUACAAUACUUUACUGAUUCAAUUGAAAAUUUUUUACAUUAAUAUUUUAUCAUUAAGGAAAUAUUUAAAAUAAAAAUUUUUAUUUCAGGAUGUUCAUGGAAGGUGUAGUUUCUCCUUAGGACUUGCAAAAUUUCAUUUUAAGAUGGAAACUAGGGUUGUUCAACUUCAUUAUUUUGGCUGAUGAAAUUGUGGUUUUUCCUCUAAUUUCAAUGGGGGACAGUGGGAUUUUGUUGAGGUAUGGCCCAAUGUGGUUAACCAAGAAAUUCCUGUGUAGAUGGUGUCAAUGUAACAGUACUUGUUCGAACUUGUUUC
Harmonia axyridis is the source of this 343-nucleotide long non-coding RNA. RefSeq lists it as uncharacterized. NCBI's taxonomy places the organism in Eukaryota, Metazoa, Arthropoda, Insecta, Coleoptera, Coccinellidae. The record is from RefSeq and is a predicted model, not a curated record. The transcript is spliced from 4 exons.